AGAGUGAACGCUGGCGGCAGGCCUAAUACAUGCAAGUCGAACGGCAGCACAGCAGAGCUUGCUCUGUGGGUGGCGAGUGGCGGACGGGUGAGGAAUACAUGGGAAUCUGCCCAGUCGUGGGGGAUAACGUAGGGAAACUUACGCUAAUACCGCAUGCGCCCUUCGGGGGAAAGCCGGGGACCUUCGGGCCUGGCGCGAUUGGAUGAGCCCAUGUCGGAUUAGCUAGGUUGGGGGGGUAAAGCCCACGAAGGCGACGAUCCGUAGCUGGUCUGAGAGGAUGACCAGCCACACUGGAACUGAGACACGGUCCAGACUCCGUACGGGAGCAGCAGGUAGGGAAUAGUUGGACAAGUGGGCGCAAGGCCUAGGACUCCAAGCCCAGUCGCCGCGUGUACGUGGAAAGACGGUCCUUCGGUAGUAAACGCUACCGUUUGACCGGUAAAAGAAACGCGUACGUUACGGGUUAACCACCGGUUGGU
This 479-nucleotide ribosomal RNA is filed under the name uncultured soil bacterium. RNAcentral's name for it is "bacterial SSU rRNA". It matches the Rfam family "Bacterial small subunit ribosomal RNA", at positions 26 to 485 of the family's 1533-position model. The record is from RNAcentral.